UACGUAGGGUCCGAGCGUUGUCCGGAAUUACUGGGCGUAAAGAGCUCGUAGGUGGUUUGUCGCGUUGUUCGUGAAAACUCACAGCUCAACUGUGGGCGUGCGGGCGAUACGGGCAGACUAGAGUACUGCAGGGGAGACUGGAAUUCCUGGUGUAGCGGUGGAAUGCGCAGAUAUCAGGAGGAACACCGGUGGCGAAGGCGGCUACCUGGACAGAAACUGACGCUGAGGCACGAAAGCUAGGGGAGCAAACAGG
Molecule: ribosomal RNA, 253 nt
Filed under: uncultured bacterium
Lineage: Bacteria
Description: partial 16S ribosomal RNA
Rfam family: Bacterial small subunit ribosomal RNA
Source: RNAcentral